RNAcentral lists this small RNA (100 nucleotides) under Pan troglodytes (chimpanzee). Its description in RNAcentral is "processed transcript". Lineage: Eukaryota; Metazoa; Chordata; Mammalia; Primates; Hominidae. The record is from RNAcentral.
CAACAAUGAAACUUCCUUUCCUGGGCUUCUGAGCACUCUCCGAAGAUGGAAGCCCUUACACUUGGUGGGUUGGCAAAGCCAACGAGAAGCACUACUACUG